GAUGAACGCUGGCGGCGUGCUUAACACAUGCAAGUCGAACGGUGAAGGCGGAGCUUGCUCUGCUGGAUCAGUGGCGAACGGGUGAGUAACACGUGAGCAAUCUGCCCCUGACUCUGGGAUAAGCGCUGGAAACGGCGUCUAAUACUGGAUACGAGCUGCGAAGGCAUCUUCAGCAGCUGGGAAGAAUUUCGGUCAGGGAUGAGCUCGCGGCCUACCAGCUUGUUGGUGAGGUAAUGGCUGACCAAGGCGUCGACGGGUAGCCGGCCUGAGAGGGUGACCGGCCACACUGGGACUGAGACACGGCCCAGACUCCUACGGGAGGCAGCAGUGGAGAGUAUUGCACAAUGGGCGAAAGCCUGAUGCAGCAACGCCGCGUGAGGGACGACGGCCUUCGGGUUGUAAACCUCUUUUAGCAGGGAAGAAGCGAAAGUGACGGUACCUGCAGAAAAAGCGCCGGCUAACUACGUG
This 468-nucleotide ribosomal RNA is filed under the name uncultured bacterium. RNAcentral describes it as "partial 16S ribosomal RNA". It matches the Rfam family "Bacterial small subunit ribosomal RNA", at positions 28 to 507 of the family's 1533-position model. The record is from RNAcentral.